AAAGCUUUCCCCUUUCACUACCUCCAAAUUGAGCAGCUGUUAAUAAUUGUAACUUUUGAGAUAAUUACAGCUCUACUUCAAGUGGUGACAAGGUGUGGAUUGUGGAAAAGGUUGUUUUUCCCAUUCCACACCAGAGAGAAAGCCAGCAAAUAUUUAUACAAGUCUUUCUGGGGGUACUAGCAGGUGUAAGAGUGCCUUUAGGAAAUGCCUUGGUAAGAAAUUAUCAUCUAAACCAAAUCAUUUUGAAAGCCCAGAUCAUCAGCAAGUAAAAUACUCUGAUUAUAUACUGAAAAAAAAAAAAAAAAAAAUGGCUGUUGAUUUGACUGCUUUGUGUGCUCAGAGGGGCACUGCUAGGUUGGUCCUUCUUCCUGCUGUCUGUAGUGUACUCUUCACCUAAUAACUGAUCCAGAAUAUCAGACAGUUUGACUGGUGUUUGAUAGACUUCUGCUGCUGUAGUAUUGUUGAACAGGGAAAAUAGAUGGGUGAGCAGUUAUUUAGGCUUGUGAGUGCAUUCUGGAUAUGCAAUUUGGAUGUCUAUUUAGUGCCUAAAGUACAUGUACUGAGGCAGGGUGCAAAAAGUGAUAAAUCACAGGAUGGCAUAUUCUGGUUUUGUAGCACAGACAAAAGAGAGAACUUCUUUUCCAAGUAGAUUUGAAAGUUAGUGAACUGGCCACCUACAAAAUUCCAUGACAUGUCAGCCAGAAUGGGUUCCUCUGUGAAGAGUGCUAACUCACCUGUCUUCAGUUCAUAGGACUAGACAUUUUCUUCUAGCUACUAGUGAGGCUUCUUGCUGAUCAUAAAAUGACUCAGGAAAGAAUGUGGAAACAAGACUUCAAUUGUACCCUUACCUUUGACAGAACAUGGUUGCCUUUAUUGAUUGAUGUCAGAUGAGUUAGCAAACCUAGUAUUUUCAGUUACCUAGAUACUGAGUUAAUUAAUGGUAAGAAUCUUACAAGUUGCUUUUUUACCAUUUUCAUAAAAUUCCAACCUUUUUGCUUGGUAUGCAUUGCAUUUUAAUCUGUGAUAAAUAGUUUUGAACAGUGAGAUCUGCAUUACCUUACUCUGUAGAAAUAGUCUAUUGCUUUUCUGAUCCAGCCUUUCUGCUUCCUAAAAAUGUUACGUCAUCCUCUAAGUCCUACUUUGUCAGUGAGCAAAAGAUCCUUUUUUUCCACCAAAUAAAUCUAUUUUGUAUCUGCUAAUUUUAAGACUUAGGCUGAGCAUUGUCCCUAGAGUAUGGAGUAGACUGACUGGAGAAAUCUUCCUGGGUUGCCAAAGCUUUCAUUUCGUGAACAUGAUAAAAUUAGACACUGCUUUAAGUGAGAAGUCUGUCACUUCCCUUCCUCUCCCACAGUCUUAGUUCCAUAAUAAGCUUCAAGCCCAGUGUAGUGUUGUGAAAGUCAGGCAGGUGUGCAGUUACCAAAGCUGAUACGUUAACACCUGCAGGAAAAAUACAGGUUAAGAUCCUGUAAUAAUUUUGAAAAUUGUUGUGGUUUGAUGGAUAUUCACAGUGAACAGGCAAAACCUGAGCUUUCUCGGUGUUGCCUACACUGCAGAAUGCAUAUAACUAGUGAGAUCCUGAGCUGCUGGGAACCCUGUUAAAGUCUCCUGUGAAUAAGGUGAAGGACGAUACUUCACAUUGGCAAAAUGACAUCCAUACACAAUGCUCUUGUGCUUGAUGCACAAGACCAAAGAUCAAAGAUGCACAAGUUCAAAAGACUCCUGGAUCUUUUUCCUUUCUUCUUUAUCAGCCACCUUUGGUUUGCCUUGUGAUGAGUGCUUUUCAGAAAUGCUCUUUUUCCAUGGUGCUGGAGGAGUUGACUAGAACCUAAUCUCAUUUGGCCAGUGUGGUUAGCCAAGGGCUUGCCGUUGCUAGUCAGCUCAGUCUUAACACUGACCUUACCCUAGGCUCUUUAAUCUGUCAGGCUGUCAUCUCCAAUGGCGUGAGUUAGGAUCUGUUUGCCCGGCUGAUUGUUGCUAAUUUCCUGCUAGCGAGUGAAUCAAAAUCUUAUUCUGACAAAGAAGGUUCUUUAAUGUUGUUGUUUAUGCAGACAAAUAGUUAAAAUUUCACAUAUAAAAGAUUAAAUAUUGUAAUUGCAUAAUUAGAAAAAAUGUUACAUGAUUUAACAUAGCAUUUUUCUAUUUAUAUAAGUGACAACUAAUGGUUUCUUUUUUUCUCCUAGCUUUGGGAAAGAUUCUUCAACUUUGUAAUUUUAAAACAUUUUCUCCUACACAUGUCAUUGUUCUUUUUAAUAGGAUCUGCCAGAACAACUCUGAGCAAAAGCUCUGCAUUUUCACAUUAUUAUCUCAUUGUCUAUCCCUAGUGUUAUAGCCUUACUGUG
Long non-coding RNA from Strigops habroptila (Kakapo), 2339 nucleotides. The record is from Ensembl. Lineage: Eukaryota; Metazoa; Chordata; Aves; Psittaciformes; Psittacidae.